This 71-nucleotide transfer RNA is filed under the name Heterocephalus glaber (naked mole-rat). It matches the Rfam family "tRNA". From Rfam's summary of the family: Transfer RNA (tRNA) molecules are approximately 80 nucleotides in length. Their secondary structure includes four short double-helical elements and three loops (D, anti-codon, and T loops). Lineage: Eukaryota; Metazoa; Chordata; Mammalia; Rodentia; Bathyergidae. The record is from Rfam by way of RNAcentral.
GCAGGUGUGGCUUGGGGGUAGAGCACUUGGCUAGCACCCAUGAGGCCCUGGGUUCUAUCCCCAGCACAGCA